GCCUUCGUGGUGUAGUGGUCUGCAUGUUUGACGCGUAACCGAGAGGUCCGUGGUUAGAUUCCCGGCGAAGGCG
Molecule: non-coding RNA, 73 nt
Organism: Stegodyphus mimosarum
Lineage: Eukaryota; Metazoa; Arthropoda; Arachnida; Araneae; Eresidae
Source: Rfam